GGCCGACUAGCUCAGUUGGUUAGAGCGUCGUGCUAAUAUUGGAUUUAAAUAUGGUAUUACGCGAAGGUCUUGGGUUCGAUCCCCACGUUGGCCA
Molecule: non-coding RNA, 94 nt
Organism: Rhodocollybia butyracea
Lineage: Eukaryota; Fungi; Basidiomycota; Agaricomycetes; Agaricales; Omphalotaceae
Source: the annotation of a GenBank genome assembly